GCGGAUAUGGUCAWAUGGUAAAA
Molecule: transfer RNA, 23 nt
Filed under: Anathallis obovata
Lineage: Eukaryota; Viridiplantae; Streptophyta; Magnoliopsida; Asparagales; Orchidaceae
Description: partial tRNA-Gly
Source: RNAcentral